CGGGUGAGUAACGCGUGGGUAACCUGCCUCAUACAGGGGGAUAACAGUUAGAAAUGACUGCUAAUACCGCAUAAGCGCACGGGGAUGCAUAUCUUUGUGUGAAAAACUCCGGUGGUAUGAGAUGGACCCGCGUCUGAUUAGCUAGUUGGUGAGGUAACGGCUCACCAAGGCGACGAUCAGUAGCCGACCUGAGAGGGUGACCGGCCACAUUGGGACUGAGACACGGCCCAAACUCCUACGGGAGGCAGCAG
Molecule: ribosomal RNA, 251 nt
Filed under: uncultured bacterium
Lineage: Bacteria
Description: partial 16S ribosomal RNA
Rfam family: Bacterial small subunit ribosomal RNA
Source: RNAcentral